CACGCCGUAAACGAUGGAUGCUAGAUGUCGGGGGGUUGCCCUCGGUGUCGUAGUUAACGCGUUAAGCAUCCCGCCUGGGGAGUACGGUCGCAAGGCUGAAACUCAAAGAAAUUGACGGGGGCCCGCACAAGCGGUGGAGUAUGUGGUUUAAUUCGAUGCAACGCGAAGAACCUUACCUGGACUUGACAUCCCCUGAAUGACUCGUAAUGGAGGAAGCCCUACGGGGCAGGGAGACAGGUGG
This 241-nucleotide ribosomal RNA is filed under the name uncultured bacterium. Its description in RNAcentral is "partial 16S ribosomal RNA". It matches the Rfam family "Bacterial small subunit ribosomal RNA", at positions 796 to 1041 of the family's 1533-position model. The record is from RNAcentral.